GUGCCAGCCGCCGCGGUAAUACGUAGGUGGCAAGCGUUGUCCGGAUUUAUUGGGCGUAAAGCGAGCGCAGGCGGUUUUUUAAGUCUGAUGUGAAAGCCUUCGGCUCAACCGAAGAAGUGCAUCGGAAACUGGGAAACUUGAGUGCAGAAGAGGACAGUGGAACUCCAUGUGUAGCGGUGAAAUGCGUAGAUAUAUGGAAGAACACCAGUGGCGAAGGCGGCUGUCUGGUCUGUAACUGACGCUGAGGCUCGAAAGUAUGGGUAGCAAACAGGAUUAGAUACCCUGGCAGUCCAUACCGUAAACGAUGAAUGCUAAGUGUUGGAGGGUUUCCGCCCUUCAGUGCUGCAGCUAACGCAUUAAGCAUUCCGCCUGGGGAGUACGGCCGCAAGGCUGAAACUCAAAGGAAUUGACGGGGGCCCGCACAAGCGGUGGAGCAUGUGGUUUAAUUCGAAGCUACGCGAAGAACCUUACCAGGUCUUGACAUACUAUGCAAAUCUAAGAGAUUAGACGUUCCCUUCGGGGACAUGGAUACAGGUGGUGCAUGGUUGUCGUCAGCUCGUGUCGUGAGAUGUUGGGUUAAGUCCCGCAACGAGCGCAACCCUUAUUAUCAGUUGCCAGCAUUAAGUUGGGCACUCUGGUGAGACUGCCGGUGACAAACCGGAGGAAGGUGGGGAUGACGUCAAAUCAUCAUGCCCCUUAUGACCUGGGCUACACACGUGCUACAAUGGAUGGUACAACGAGUUGCGAACUCGCGAGAGUAAGCUAAUCUCUUAAAGCCAUUCUCAGUUCGGAUUGUAGGCUGCAACUCGCCUACAUGAAGUCGGAAUCGCUAGUAAUCGCGGAUCAGCAUGCCGCGGUGAAUACGUUCCCGGGCCUUGUACACACCGCCCGU
RNAcentral lists this ribosomal RNA (892 nucleotides) under uncultured bacterium. Its description in RNAcentral is "bacterial SSU rRNA". It matches the Rfam family "Bacterial small subunit ribosomal RNA", at positions 505 to 1397 of the family's 1533-position model. The record is from RNAcentral.